RNAcentral lists this ribosomal RNA (468 nucleotides) under uncultured bacterium. Its description in RNAcentral is "partial 16S ribosomal RNA". It matches the Rfam family "Bacterial small subunit ribosomal RNA", at positions 28 to 507 of the family's 1533-position model. The record is from RNAcentral.
GACGAACGCUGGCGGCGUGCUUAACACAUGCAAGUCGAACGGAAAGGCCCUGCUUUUGUGGGGUGCUCGAGUGGCGAACGGGUGAGUAACACGUGAGUAACCUGCCCUUGACUUUGGGAUAACUUCAGGAAACUGGGGCUAAUACCGGAUAGGAGCUCCUGCUGCAUGGUGGGGGUUGGAAAGUUUCGGCGGUUGGGGAAGGACGUGCGGCUUAUCAGCUUGUUGGUGGGGUAGUGGCUUACCAAGGCCUUGACGGGUAGCCGGCCUGGGAGGGUGACCGGCCACAGUGGGACUGAGGAGGGGGCCAGACUGCUACGGGGGGCAGGAGUGGGGAAUAUUGCACGAUGGGCGGAGGCCGUAUGCAGCGACGCCGCGUGCGAGAUGACGGCCUUCGGGUUGUAAACAGCUUUCGCCUGUGACGAAGCGUGAGUGACGGUAAUGGGUAAAGAAGCACCGGCUAACUACGUG